This 21-nucleotide non-coding RNA is filed under the name Caenorhabditis elegans. Lineage: Eukaryota; Metazoa; Nematoda; Chromadorea; Rhabditida; Rhabditidae. The record is from RNAcentral.
UGGGAUGGCUCAUCACUCGAA